RNAcentral lists this ribosomal RNA (542 nucleotides) under Graminella mohri. RNAcentral describes it as "partial 16S ribosomal RNA". It matches the Rfam family "Bacterial large subunit ribosomal RNA", at positions 1797 to 2619 of the family's 2925-position model. Lineage: Eukaryota; Metazoa; Arthropoda; Insecta; Hemiptera; Cicadellidae. The record is from RNAcentral.
CGCCUGUUUAACAAAAACAUUUCUUUUAGGUUUUUUUCAAAAGUACUUUCUGCCCUAUGGAUUUCUAAAUGGCUGCAGUAUUUUGACUGUGCAAAGGUAGCAUAAUAAUUAGUUUUUUAAUUGAAGGCUUGUAUGAAUGGAAAUUUGAGAUACAUAUUUUAUUUAAUUUAAAUUUUUAACUUAAAUUUUAGGUUAAAAUGCCUAAUUAAUUUCUUGGGACGAUAAGACCCUAUAGAACUUUACACUAUUUUUUAUAAUGUACUUUUAUAAUACUAUUUUGUUAUAAAUAAUAUUGUUUUGCUGGGGUGGUGGAUAAAUUUAAACUUUAUUAUUAAAAAUCAUUAUAAUUGUUUUUUUUGAUCUGUUGUUAAGGAUAAAGAAUAAGUUACCUUAGGGAUAACAGCGUAAUUACAAUGGAAAGUUCAUAUUUAUAUUGAUUUUUGCGACCUCGAUGUUGAAUUAAGGUAAAUUUUAAGGAGCAGAAUUCUUAAAUUUAAGUCUGUUCGACUUUUAAAUCCUUACUUGAUCUGAGUUCAGACCGG